This 450-nucleotide ribosomal RNA is filed under the name uncultured bacterium. RNAcentral's name for it is "partial 16S ribosomal RNA". It matches the Rfam family "Bacterial small subunit ribosomal RNA", at positions 354 to 796 of the family's 1533-position model. The record is from RNAcentral.
GUGGGGAAUAUUGGACAAUGGGCGAAAGCCUGAUCCAGCCAUGCCGCGUGUGUGAAGAAGGUCUUCGGAUUGUAAAGCACUUUAAGUUGGGAGGAAGGGCAGUAAGUUAAUACCUUGCUGUUUUGACGUUACCGACAGAAUAAGCACCGGCUAACUUCGUGCCAGCAGCCGCGGUAAUACGAAGGGUGAAAGCGUUAAUCGGAAUUACUGGGCGUAAAGCGAGCGUAGGUGGUUUUGUAAGUUGGAGGUGAAAUCCCCGGGCUCAACCUGGGAACUGCCUCCAAAACUGCAUGACUAGAGUACGGUAGAGGGUAGUGGAAUUUCCUGUGUAUCGGUGAAAUGCGUAGAUAUAGGAAGGAACACCAGUGGCGAAGGCGACUACCUGGACUGAUACUGACACUGAGGUGCGAAAGCGUGGGGAGCAAACAGGAUUAGAAACCCUUGUAGUCC